AAUAGAUACCCGGGUAGUCCACGCCGUAAACGAUGAGUGCUAAGUGUUAGAGGGUUUCCGCCCUUUAGUGCUGCAGCUAACGCAUUAAGCACUCCGCCUGGGGAGUACGGCCGCAAGGCUGAAACUCGAAAGGAAUUGACGGGGGCCCGCACAAGCGGUGGAGCAUGUGGUUUAAUUCGAAGCAACGCGAAGAACCUUACCAGGUCUUGACAUCCUCUGCCAACCCUAGAGAUAGGGCGUUCCCCUUCGGGGGACAGAGUGACAGGUGGUGCAUGGUUGUCGUCAGCUCGUGUCGUGAGAUGUUGGGUUAAGUCCCGCAACGAGCGCAACCCUUGAUCUUAGUUGCCAGCAUUCAGUUGGGCACUCUAAGGUGACUGCCGGUGACAAACCGGAGGAAGGUGGGGAUGACGUCAAAUCAUCAUGCCCCUUAUGACCUGGGCUACACACGUGCUACAAUGGAUGGUACAAAGAGCAGCGAACCCGCGAGGGUAAGCCAAUCUCAUAAAGCCAUUCUCAGUUCGGA
Molecule: ribosomal RNA, 523 nt
Filed under: uncultured bacterium
Lineage: Bacteria
Description: bacterial SSU rRNA
Rfam family: Bacterial small subunit ribosomal RNA
Source: RNAcentral